This 20-nucleotide microRNA is filed under the name Dinoponera quadriceps. Its description in RNAcentral is "dqu-miR-11653-3p". The record is from miRBase by way of RNAcentral. Lineage: Eukaryota; Metazoa; Arthropoda; Insecta; Hymenoptera; Formicidae.
UGUUGAGCCAAUGUGACGCC